This 253-nucleotide ribosomal RNA is filed under the name uncultured bacterium. RNAcentral describes it as "partial 16S ribosomal RNA". It matches the Rfam family "Bacterial small subunit ribosomal RNA", at positions 524 to 776 of the family's 1533-position model. The record is from RNAcentral.
UACGGAGGGUGCGAGCGUUUAUCGGAAUUACUGGGCGUAAAGCGUGCGUAGGCGGAUGCUUGAGUCGGAUGUGAAAGCCCUGGGCUCAACCUGGGAAUGGCAUUCGAUACUGGGCAUCUAGAGUGUGGUAGAGGGGGGUAGAAUUCCUGGUGUAGCGGUGAAAUGCGUAGAUAUCAGGAGGAAUACCUGUGGCGACGGCGACCACCGGGAUCAACACUGACGCUGAGGUACGAAAGCGAGGGUAGCAAACAGG